UACGGAGGGUGCGAGCGUUGUUCGGGAUUAUUGGGCGUAAAGCGCGUGUAGGCGGUUGGGUAAGACCGAUGUGAAAGCCUUCCGCUUAAAGGGAGAAGCGCAUUUGAAACUGCACAGCUAGAGUACGGGAGAGGAGAGUGGAAUUCCCGGUGUAGAGGUGAAAUUCGUAGAUAUCGGGACGAACACCAGUGGCGAAGGCGGCUCUCUCGUCCGAUACUGACGCCGAGACGCCGAAGCCUGUGGAGCAAGCAGG
RNAcentral lists this ribosomal RNA (253 nucleotides) under uncultured bacterium. RNAcentral's name for it is "partial 16S ribosomal RNA". It matches the Rfam family "Bacterial small subunit ribosomal RNA", at positions 524 to 776 of the family's 1533-position model. The record is from RNAcentral.